RNAcentral lists this ribosomal RNA (766 nucleotides) under uncultured archaeon. RNAcentral's name for it is "bacterial SSU rRNA". It matches the Rfam family "Archaeal small subunit ribosomal RNA", at positions 1 to 774 of the family's 1478-position model. The record is from RNAcentral.
UUCCGGUUGAUCCCGCCGGACCUGACUGCUAUCGGAUUGAUACUAAGCCAUGCGAGUCUUUGUAGCAAUACAAGGCAGACGGCUCAGUAACACGUAGUCAAUCUACCCUAUGGACGGGGAUAACCUCGGGAAACUGAGAAUAAUACCCGAUAGAUCAUUAUACCUGGAAUGGUUCAUGGUUCAAAUGAUUUUUCGCCAUAGGAUGGGACUGCGGUCUAUCAGCUUGUUGGUGAGGUAAUGGCCCACCAAGGCUAUAACAGAUACGGGCUCUGAGAGGAGAAGCCCGGAGAUGGGUACUGAGACACGGACCCAGGUCCUAUGGGGCGCAGCAGGCGAGAAAACUUUGCAAUGUGCGAAAGCACGACAAGGUUAAUCCGAGUGUUUUCUGCUAAAGAAAUCUUUUGUCAGUCCUAAAAACACUGACGAAUAAGGGGUGGGCAAGUUCUGGUGUCAGCCGCCGCGGUAAAACCAGCACCUCAAGUGGUCAGGAGGAUUAUUGGGCCUAAAGCAUCCGUAGCCGGCUCUGUAAGUUUUCGGUUAAAUCUAUAUGCUCAACAUAUAGGCUGCCGGGAAUACUGCAGAGCUAGGGAGUGGGAGAGGUAGAUGGUACUCGGUAGGAAGGGGUAAAAUCCUUUGAUCUAUUGAUGACCACCUGUGGCGAAGGCGGUCUACUAGAACACGUUCGACGGUGAGGGAUGAAAGCUGGGGGAGCAAACCGGAUUAGAUACCCGGGUAGUCCCAGCUGUAAACUAUGCAAACUCAGUGA